UUCAUUUAUGUGCAUAUGUCACCUUCCAAUCCAGAGCUAACUAGGCCAAGGCUUAUUCUUCGAAUCACAUUUUGAAUUUUGUCCGUUAAACAACCGGAAAGGUAUAACAGCAUGAAAGAUAGGUGGACUUCUGAGAAGUAAUCAAGGCCUAGAUUUAGCACCUGAAGUGUGCAAAGUCUGCCCAUGCGCAAAUAACGGAAUCUAAACAAGAUACAAGUUACGGUGCUCUUACUGACACAGUACUAGGCUUGUACCAAAACCAACACAUUAUGAUUUCGAUAAAGGUUCGAGACGGAAUCGGCUGGAUUCACCCCCCAAGCACACGACCAGGUAAUUUGCAACUUCCUGUUUUGGCAAGAUAA
Molecule: long non-coding RNA, 362 nt
Organism: Liolophura sinensis
Lineage: Eukaryota; Metazoa; Mollusca; Polyplacophora; Chitonida; Chitonidae
Exons: 3
Source: RefSeq, a predicted model, not a curated record